GGACCAUCGUAGCUCAGAGUCAGAGCACCUGCCCUGCAUGCAGAAGGUCCCAGGUUCAGUCCCUGUCAGCAUCUCCA
This is a non-coding RNA of Podarcis lilfordi (Lilford's wall lizard), 77 nucleotides long. NCBI's taxonomy places the organism in Eukaryota, Metazoa, Chordata, Lepidosauria, Squamata, Lacertidae. The record is from the annotation of a GenBank genome assembly.